AGCUUUGUGCAGUGGCAGUAUCAUAGCCAAUGAAGUUUAUCCAAGGCGCGAUUAUUGCUAAUUCAAAAUGUCUUUCAGAAAAUAGUGGAGAACACUUCUCAACCUAUUCUAGAUUCCAGGACACUGU
Vulpes vulpes (red fox) is the source of this 127-nucleotide small nuclear RNA. Its record names the gene U4. It matches the Rfam family "U4 spliceosomal RNA". Rfam says of the family: U4 small nuclear RNA (U4 snRNA) is a component of the major U2-dependent spliceosome. The structure of U4 snRNA from yeast and human has been reported. U4 snRNA presents a k-turn RNA motif in the 5p-SL related to recognition of Snu13 protein. The record is from Ensembl. NCBI's taxonomy places the organism in Eukaryota, Metazoa, Chordata, Mammalia, Carnivora, Canidae.